GGGUGCGAUCAUACCAAUGUUAAUGCACCGGAUGCCAUCGAAACUUUUCAGUUAAGUGUGCUUCGGCUAGAGUAGUACCAGGAUGGGUGACCUCUCAGGAAACCCUAGUGUUGCAACCU
Molecule: non-coding RNA, 119 nt
Organism: Picea glauca (white spruce)
Lineage: Eukaryota; Viridiplantae; Streptophyta; Pinopsida; Pinales; Pinaceae
Source: Rfam